Molecule: ribosomal RNA, 478 nt
Filed under: uncultured bacterium
Lineage: Bacteria
Description: partial 16S ribosomal RNA
Rfam family: Bacterial small subunit ribosomal RNA
Source: RNAcentral
GGCGAACGCUGGCGGCGUGCUUAACACAUGCAAGUCGAACGUGAUUUUUGUGGAAAUUCUUUCGGGAAUGGACAUGAAAUGAAAGUGGCGAACGGGUGAGUAACACGUGAGCAACCUACCUUACACAGGGGGAUAGCCGUUGGAAACGACGAUUAAUACCGCAUGAGACCACAGAAUCGCAUGAUAUAGGGGUCAAAGAUUUAUCGGUGUAAGAGGGGCGCGGGUCUGAUUAGCUAGUUGGAAGGGUAAAGGCCUACCAAGGCGACGAUCAGUAGCCGGGCUGGGAGGCGGAGCGGCGAGGUUGGAGCGAGGGCGCGGGCGAGACUCCGAGGGGGGGGGGGGGUGGGGAAUAGUGCGCGAGGGGGGGAACCGUGAUGCAGCGGCGCCGGGGGAGCGGGGAAGGGGGUCGAAGCGUAAAGCUCGGUGCGAUGAGGAGAUAGUGACGGUAUCAGAGGAGGAAGCCCCGGCUAAAUACGUG